UCACGCUGGCGGCGUGCCUAACACAUGCAAGUCGAACGCGAAAGUCCCGCAAGGGAUCAGUAGAGUGGCAAACGGGUGAGUAACACGUGGGUGACCUGCCUUCGAGCGGGGGAUAACGUCCCGAAAGGGACGCUAAUACCGCAUGACAUCCUGCCUUUUAACAGGUGGAGAUCAAAGCCGGGGAUCGUAAGACCUGGCACUCGAAGAGGGGCCCGCGCCUGAUUAGCUAGUUGGUGAGGUAACGGCUCACCAAGGCAACGAUCAGUAGCCGGCCUGAGAGGGCGGACGGCCACACUGGGACUGAGACACGGCCCAGACUCCUACGGGAGGCAGCAGUGGGGAAUUGUUCGCAAUGGGCGCAAGCCUGACGACGCAACGCCGCGUGGAGGAUGAAGAUCUUCGGGUCGUAAACUCCUUUCGAUCGAGACGAAUUCCUCUGGGGUGAACAAUCCCGGAGGUUGACGGUACCGAGAGAAGAAGCCCCGGCUAACUCCGUGCCAGCAGCCGCGGUAAUACGGGGGGGGCAAGCGUUGUUCGGAAUUACUGGGCGUAAAGGGCUCGUAGGUGGCCAACUAAGUCAGACGCGAAAUCCCUCGGCUUAACCGGGGAACUGCGUCUGAUACUGGAUGGCUUGAGUUUGGGAGAGGGACGCGGAAUUCCAGGUGUAGCGGUGAAAUGCGUAGAUAUCUGGA
RNAcentral lists this ribosomal RNA (692 nucleotides) under uncultured soil bacterium. RNAcentral describes it as "bacterial SSU rRNA". It matches the Rfam family "Bacterial small subunit ribosomal RNA", at positions 31 to 702 of the family's 1533-position model. The record is from RNAcentral.